Molecule: small nuclear RNA, 117 nt
Organism: Anarrhichthys ocellatus (wolf-eel)
Lineage: Eukaryota; Metazoa; Chordata; Actinopteri; Perciformes; Anarhichadidae
Product: U1 spliceosomal RNA
Exons: 1
Source: RefSeq, a predicted model, not a curated record
AUACUUGCCUGGCAGGGGAGAUACCAUAAUCAAGAAGGUGGGUCACCCAGGGCGAGGCCCAGCCAUUGCACUCUGGUUGUGCUGACCGCCGACCUUGGGGGUGAGCUGCACUGUAGU